AGAAUCAACGCUGGCGGCGUGCCUAACACAUGCAAGUCGAACGAGAAAGGGGUAGUAAUACCCCGAGUAAAGUGGCGACCGGGUGAGUAACACGUGACUAACCUACCCUCGAGUGUGGAAUAACAUCGGGAAACCGAUGCUAAUACCGCAUAACAUCGACGCUUUUAAUAAGUGCCGAUCAAAGGAGCAAUCCGCUUGAGGAGGGGGUCGCGGCUGAUUAGCUAGUUGGCGGGGUAACGCCCACCAAGGCGAAGAUCGGUA
RNAcentral lists this ribosomal RNA (261 nucleotides) under uncultured bacterium. Its description in RNAcentral is "partial small subunit ribosomal RNA". It matches the Rfam family "Bacterial small subunit ribosomal RNA", at positions 26 to 285 of the family's 1533-position model. The record is from RNAcentral.